Molecule: ribosomal RNA, 254 nt
Filed under: uncultured bacterium
Lineage: Bacteria
Description: partial 16S ribosomal RNA
Rfam family: Bacterial small subunit ribosomal RNA
Source: RNAcentral
UACAGAGGGGGCAAGCGUUGUUCGGAAUUACUGGGCGUAAAGCGUAUGCAGGCGGACCGUUAAGUCGGAGGUGAAAUCCCAGGGCUCAACCCUGGAACUGCCUUCGAUACUGGCGGCCUUCGAGUCCGGGAGAGGUGAGUGGAACUCCGAGUGUAGAGGUGAAAUUCGUAGAUAUUCGCAAGAACACCAGUGGCGAAGGCGGCUCACUGGCCCGAUACUGACGCUGAGGCACGAAAGCGUGGGGAGCAAACAGG